GAGCUGCUGAGCUGGAGAACUGAAUGGAUGAGGGUUGGAGAAACAAGUUUCCUGUAAAGGACCAGCUAUUUAAUUUUAUUCAUCCUGUAUCAAGUUUCUGCAUCUCACAGUUUGGGCACAACAGGAGGGAAGCUUGGCUGCUCUACCUGGAGCCAGUGGAACUGCUGGGAGAUGGACUCACUGACGAGAGGAGGACGAGACGAAGAUGUUUUGCCAACUGCCUUAGACUGCCUGGCACUUCUAGGCAGAUCACUUCAACUGGGG
RNAcentral lists this long non-coding RNA (264 nucleotides) under Rattus norvegicus (Norway rat). Its description in RNAcentral is "long non-coding RNA NONRATT033312". Lineage: Eukaryota; Metazoa; Chordata; Mammalia; Rodentia; Muridae. The record is from RNAcentral.